Molecule: ribosomal RNA, 253 nt
Filed under: uncultured bacterium
Lineage: Bacteria
Description: partial 16S ribosomal RNA
Rfam family: Bacterial small subunit ribosomal RNA
Source: RNAcentral
UACGAAGGGGGCUAGCGUUGUUCGGAAUUACUGGGCGUAAAGCGCGUGUAGGCGGGUCCUUAAGUCAGGGGGGAAAUGCCAAGGCUCAACCUUGGAACUGCCUUUGAUACUGGGGAUCUUGAGUCCGGGAGAGGUGAGUGGAACUGCGAGUGUAGAGGUGAAAUUCGUAGAUAUUCGCAAGAACACCAGUGGCGAAGGCGGCUCACUGGCCCGGAACUGACGCUGAGACGCGAAAGUGUGGGGAGCGAACAGG